This 268-nucleotide signal recognition particle RNA is filed under the name bacterium. RNAcentral describes it as "signal recognition particle sRNA large type". It matches the Rfam family "Bacterial large signal recognition particle RNA". Rfam says of the family: The signal recognition particle (SRP) is a universally conserved ribonucleoprotein involved in the co-translational targeting of proteins to membranes. Archaeal SRP consists of a 7S RNA and homologues of the eukaryotic SRP19 and SRP54 proteins. The record is from RNAcentral.
CCAUACCUAGGCGGGGAGCCAGCGGUGCCCUGUACCGGCAAUCCGCUUUAGCCGGGCUGAGCUGCUUUGCCUCGGUUUUAUCGGCGGAAAACCGGGAAUUACCGCGCGGUGAUGAAAGCCGGGAGCGGCGCGAUUUCUGUGCUUUAACCCCGUCAGGUCCGAAAGGAAGCAGCGGUAAAAGACUACAUGGGAUGUGUUGCCGUAAAACCCUGCCGGAGCCGCAAAGUCAUUAACGGCCCGCGGAUACUAUCAAAGCAAGGCGGUAUGG